This 253-nucleotide ribosomal RNA is filed under the name uncultured bacterium. RNAcentral's name for it is "partial 16S ribosomal RNA". It matches the Rfam family "Bacterial small subunit ribosomal RNA", at positions 524 to 776 of the family's 1533-position model. The record is from RNAcentral.
UACGUAGGGGGCAAGCGUUAUCCGGAUUUACUGGGUGUAAAGGGAGCGUAGACGGAUAAGCAAGUCUGAUGUGAAAAUCCGGGGCUCAACCCCGGAAUUGCAUUGGAAACUGCAUAUCUAGAGUGUCGGAGAGGCAAGUGGAAUUCCUGGUGUAGCGGUGAAAUGCGUAGAUAUCAGGAGGAACACCAGUGGCGAAGGCGGCUUGCUGGACGAUGACUGACGUUGAGGCUCGAAAGCGUGGGGAGCAAACAGG